UCUGCAACCUCAAAAUUAGUUCAUAGGGAAGCACAGAUGAUGACAAAAUCCUAUUUAAUAUACAGAUUCCUUUCCAGUACUCAGUACUGAUAAUAAAAUCUCUCAGGCACACCUUUGUCUAACUGCUUUAUAAUGAAUACAUGCAACUAUUUUGCUCAAACACUGCUCCUAGAGGUGCAUGUGUACAUGUUGUUGAUGUUGUUUGUGGUUUUGUUCAUUUGUUUGUUUUAGAUUGUUUUGAGUAGUGUUAAUGCAGCGGAGACCUCUAUAUGAUACAAUUGCAAGGAUUAUUGACUGCUGCUUACUGAAUUAAGUGAGGCAGUAGGAAGAAUAGAGUAACAGAAGAACAACUGCAAAGCUUGACAGAAAUAGCUACUUUACUAGUUGAUGCAACUUAAAGAAGGUCACCGCUGCAGCCUGCAGUUGGUCUGUUAUUUGAACUCUUUGAAAACAUCCAAAUUUUCACAUUGAGCAAGCUGAUUUAAUACUACCAGUAAGAGUUGAUCUGAGUACUGUAUGUUCCCAGUUGUUGAUUCAAAUUCUGGUGAAUUUUGAUAGCUUUAAUUCUCACUGUGGUUUAUUGGUGUUUUGUUUUGUUUCAUUUUGGUUUUUUUUUCUUUUUUCAGUUGACUCUGCACUUCUUUAGACUAAUACCGUGGAUCAUAAAACAUGACUGGUUGAAUGUAAGGAGCAUAGGAUUUUGAAAAUUUUGAAGCUGUGACAAGGCUACAGCAUUCUGAACUCCAAAAACGCAACCUGAGUAUUUUAACUUGACAUCAGAUUGAGAGAAUGGCUCUAGUACACUGGGAGUUAAGAAGUGAAUGUUGGUUCAAGACAUCAGAAGUGAAUUUUGGUGGUAUGGCAGCAGAGGAACACUGACAAAAUGGCACCUGACAUCCAGGAAGUGUGUAUGAAGUAAAGUUAUGUUUGUGGAUCCAUUCAACUCAGGAAGGAGCACUUAAAGCACAACUGACUGUUAAAAGGAACACUGAAGUCAGUGAAGGACUGAUUUCCCGCAGCCAGCUGUGCCAGGUGCCGGGCUGUGAUGGGAGCAGCU
Molecule: non-coding RNA, 1057 nt
Organism: Coturnix japonica (Japanese quail)
Lineage: Eukaryota; Metazoa; Chordata; Aves; Galliformes; Phasianidae
Source: RefSeq, a predicted model, not a curated record